CUCGCUUGCCGGUCCUUUCUUGCAGCAAUUUUAAUUCAUGUUCCUUGAAGUCGCGUUUAUAUUUGUGGCUUAUAUAUUUUUUUACCAGCUGUACAAUGAAAGUAUUAACACACGAACAGCUUGCAGAAUUUUUACCAGUGCUGGAGAAGGAUUUCCCUCGCAGUCUUCCGGUGUAUCAUGUUAUGCGCAAUGUUGUCCGUCAGCGCUUCGCCUGGCCCGGCAUCGAGUUCAUCGUUGACGACUUCCCCAAUCCCUCCGUCUGUAUCGCUCGGCCCCGCAAAGACGAUAAAUCCUUCGUUCCCCUGAUGAACGGUUAUCAGGUAUUUGUCUACUCCAAAGACACCAAUGUCUUCCGGAAAAUGUUAUUCGAAGAACCUGACACACUGGACUGGACACAGAAUAUCAUGUUUGCCGAUUUAUCGGAGCCUGAGCAUUUGGUACUGUUGGAAGGCGGUAAAGGCUUUCGUGGUGGUACUUUCGAUCAUCUGAUUACGAUGGAAGGCUUCCCAACGGGAGAAUACUGCUACUACUUCGAUUUACCAAACCUGGAUUUACAAUAUGAAGUGCCGGAAGGUCUUCGCCUGGGCACGUUGAACCCGGAGCACGCCGUGCAAGUUGCCCGUGAACGCAACUACGGUCACACGGCUAACAACAUUGCGUUCUUCCGCUACAUGAUGGAGAACGAAUACCCUAGCGCUGCCCUCUUCCCUGUUGGUUCGGAUUCGCCCAUCGCCUACGCCAUUUACAAGACAGAAGGCGUUGUGGGCGCCGCCUUCAUCCACCCCGACUACCGCAAGCGGGGGCUGUACCAAGUGGUGCUACGGGCGCUGCUGAAGAAAUUACGGGAUAUCGGGGAAAUCCACGUCUGGGUGGAGACGAUGAAGUUUAAUUUGGCCUCGCAAGCCGGGAUAAAGGCGGUUGGCGCUAAGGAGUACGAGGGACACACGGUGCACUGGAUCAAUUACUGGCCGGCGGGGCAUGCAUUCGACAGAGAUCCGUACAAGAAUUUCCGAUGAGGAUAUGCCGAUACAGUAAUUAGUGGCGGAUGUCAUGAUGCUUUUCGAACUGAAGAUGCAACUAAUGGUACUCGCUGUGAUCCUUCGGGAUAUCUGCCACACUGCAGCUAAGGCCCCAUCUUCCAACCGGCAACGGACUUUCACUAGUCGUCCACGUGUCCGACAGGAUGUCGUAGAUUUCCACAAAUUUCUGACUCCCUAAAGUCCUAGAAUAACCUCCCAGGACGUAGAUUUUUUCGCCGAAACAGCAGGCUGAAGAGGAAUACGACGGGCGACUCAGUGCAUCUACAGGAAUUCUUGUCCUUUCGAGAUACUAACAAAAUGUUUGAGGACCAAAGUCUUGGCUUUGUUGGCUAGCGUCGGAUUUUUGUGUGCAUCGGAAUCCGCGAAACAAUACAGCAUCAGACAGUUACUGACGUCUAUGUGAUCGUCCAUGAAUUUCCAGCAGGCAUCCA
RNA transcript from Paramacrobiotus metropolitanus, 1471 nucleotides. RefSeq lists it as uncharacterized. The transcript has 6 exons. Lineage: Eukaryota; Metazoa; Tardigrada; Eutardigrada; Parachela; Macrobiotidae. The record is from RefSeq and is a predicted model, not a curated record.